UUAAUGAAGAGUUUGAUCCUGGCUCAGGAUGAACGCUGGCGGCGUGCCUAACACAUGCAAGUCGAGCGAGAAU
RNAcentral lists this ribosomal RNA (73 nucleotides) under Bacillota bacterium. RNAcentral describes it as "partial 16S ribosomal RNA". It matches the Rfam family "Bacterial small subunit ribosomal RNA", at positions 1 to 73 of the family's 1533-position model. Lineage: Bacteria; Bacillati; Bacillota. The record is from RNAcentral. RNAcentral also lists the same sequence under 1 other name.